UGGUGUGCUGCGGUUGUUGCUUCCUGU
RNAcentral lists this non-coding RNA (27 nucleotides) under Rattus norvegicus (Norway rat). Lineage: Eukaryota; Metazoa; Chordata; Mammalia; Rodentia; Muridae. The record is from RNAcentral.